UGUGGGAGGGGGCUUGCUCCCGAUAGCGGUGUGUCAGUUACCAAUAAAUUGACUGACCUACCGCUAUCGGGAGCAAGCCCCCUCCCACC
RNAcentral lists this unclassified non-coding RNA (89 nucleotides) under Pseudomonas extremaustralis. The record is from RNAcentral. Lineage: Bacteria; Pseudomonadati; Pseudomonadota; Gammaproteobacteria; Pseudomonadales; Pseudomonadaceae.